This 330-nucleotide ribosomal RNA is filed under the name uncultured bacterium. RNAcentral's name for it is "bacterial SSU rRNA". It matches the Rfam family "Bacterial small subunit ribosomal RNA", at positions 18 to 344 of the family's 1533-position model. The record is from RNAcentral.
CAUGGCUCAGAUUGAACGCUGGCGGCAUGCUUUACACAUGCAAGUCGGACGGCAGCACAGAGAAGCUUGCUUCUUGGGUGGCGAGUGGCGAACGGGUGAGUAACAUAUCGGAACGUACCGAGCAGUGGGGGAUAACUAAUCGAAAGAUUAGCUAAUACCGCAUAUCUUCUGAGGAAGAAAGCAGGGGACCAUUUGGCCUUGCGCUGUUUGAGCGGCCGAUAUCUGAUUAGCUAGUUGGUGGGGUAAAGGCCUACCAAGGCGACGAUCAGUAGCGGGUCUGAGAGGAUGAUCCGCCACACUGGGACUGAGACACGGCCCAGACUCCUACGG